RNAcentral lists this ribosomal RNA (1286 nucleotides) under metagenome. RNAcentral describes it as "SSU rRNA". It matches the Rfam family "Eukaryotic small subunit ribosomal RNA", at positions 483 to 1777 of the family's 1831-position model. The record is from RNAcentral.
AUACCGGUCAUUCUAUAUGUCUGGUAAUUGGAAUGAGAACAAUUUAAAUACCUUAUCGAGUAUCCAUUGGAGGGCAAGUCUGGUGCCAGCAGCCGCGGUAACACCAGCUCCAAUAGCGUAUAUUAAAGUUGUUGCAGUUAAAAAGCUCGUAGCUGGAUAUCUGGUAAGGUGGCCUGACCCGCCUCCCACACGGGAGUGUGUGUGUCGGCGCUUGCCUUAUCAUCUUUCCAGAGUCUACGCUGGAUCCUUCGGGGUUUGGUGUUUGAGUCUGGAUCUUUUACUUUGAAAAAAUUAGAGUGUUCAAAGCAAGCUUUUGCUGUGAAUACAUUAGCAUGGAAUAAUAAAAUAGGACUUUGGCCUAUUUUGUUGGUUUCUAGGACCAAAGUAAUGAUUGAUAGGGAUAGUUGGGGGUGCUUGUAUUGAACGGCCAGAGGUGAAAUUCUUGGAUUCGUUCAAGACAAACUACUGCGAAAGCAUUCACCAAGGAUGUCUUCUUUAAUCAAGAACGAAAGUUGGGGGAUCGAAGACGAUUAGAUACCGUCGUAGUCUCAACCAUAAACUAUGCCGACUAAGGAUCAGUGAAUGUUGAUUUAGACUUCAUUGGGACUUUACGAGAAAUCAAAGUUUUUGGGUUCUGGGGGGAGUCUGGUCGCAAGGCUGAAACUUAAAGGAAUUGACGGAAGGGCACCACAAUGGAGUGGAGCCUGCGGCUUAAUUUGACACAACACGGGAAAACUUACCAGGUCAGGACACAGGAAGGAUUGACAGAUUGCAGAUCUUUCUUGAUUCUGUGGGUGGUGGUGCAUGGCCGUUCUUAGUUGGUGGAGUGAUUUGUCUGGUUAAUUCCGUUAACGAACGAGGCCUCAGCCUACUAAAUAGUCGGAUGUAUACUUCACAGUGUACACUUCCGACUUCUUAGAGGGACUGUCGGUUUCUAGCCGAAGGAAGCAUGAGGCAAUAACAGGUCUGUGAUGUCCUUAGAUGUUCUGGGCUGCACGCGCGCUACAAUGUUGCAUUCAACGAGCAUUCACCCUUGAUCGAAAGGUCUGGGUAAUCUUUGAAAGUGCAACGUGCUGGGGAUUGAUUAUUGCAAUUGUUAGUCAUGAACCAGGAAUUCCUAGUAAACGCGAGUCAUCAGCUCGCAUUGAUUACGUCCCUGCCCUUUGUACACACCGCCCGUCGCUCCUACCGAUUGAAUGAUCCGGCGAAAUCUUCGGACUGUUGUAUUGAGUUGGGUUUUCUCGGCUCAGUGCCGACGGGAAGUUGAUUGAACCUUAUCAUUUAGA